AUACGUAGGGUGCGAGCGUUGUCCGGAAUUACUGGGCGUAAAGAGCUCGUAGGUGGUUUGUCGCGUCGUCUGUGAAAUUCCGGGGCUUAACUCCGGGCGUGCAGGCGAUACGGGCAUAACUUGAGUACUGUAGGGGAGACUGGAAUUCCUGGUGUAGCGGUGAAAUGCGCAGAUAUCAGGAGGAACACCGGUGGCGAAGGCGGGUCUGUGGGCAGUAACUGACGCUGAGGAGCGAAAGCAUGGGUAGCGAACAGGAUUAGAUACCCUGGUAGUCCAUGCCGUAAACGGUGGGCGCUAGGUGUAGGGGUCUUCCACGACUUCUGUGCCGUAGCUAACGCAUUAAGCGCCCCGCCUGGGGAGUACGGCCGCAAGGCUAAAACUCAAAGGAAUUGACGGGG
This 398-nucleotide ribosomal RNA is filed under the name uncultured bacterium. RNAcentral describes it as "partial 16S ribosomal RNA". It matches the Rfam family "Bacterial small subunit ribosomal RNA", at positions 523 to 918 of the family's 1533-position model. The record is from RNAcentral.